UGGCGGAUGGCUUUACACAUGCAAGUCGAACGGCAGCACGGACUUCGGUCUGGUGGCGAGUGGCGAACGGGUGAGUAAUAUAUCGGAACGUAUCCAAUAAUGGGGGAUGACUAAUCGAAAGGUUGGCUAAUACCGCAUACGCCCUACGGGGGAAAGCUAGGGAUCUUCGGACCUGGCGUUAAUGGAGCGGCCGAUAUCUGAUUAGCUAGUUGGUGGGGUAAAGGCCCACCAAGGCGACGAUCAGUAGCUGGUCUGAGAGGACGACCAGCCACACUGGAACUGAGACACGGUCCAGACUCCUACGGGAGGCAGCAGUGGGGAAUUUUGGACAAUGGGCGCAAGCCUGAUCCAGCCAUUCCGCGUGAGUGAAGAAGGCCUUCGGGUUGUAAAGCUCUUUCGCAAGGGAAGAAAACUUAUCCUCUAACAUAGGAUGUGGUUGACGGUACCUUGAUAAGAAGCACCGGCUAACUACGUGCCAGCAGCCGCGGUAAUACGUAGGGUGCGAGCGUUAAUCGGAAUUACUGGGCGUAAAACGUGCGCAGGCUGUUUUGUAAGUCAGAUGUGAAAUCCCUGAGCUCAACUUAGGAACUGCGUUUGAAACUACAAGACUAGAAUAUGUCAGAGGGGGGUAGAAUUCCACGUGUAGCAGUGAAAUGCGUAGAGAUGUGGAGGAAUACCAAUGGCGAAGGCAGCCCCCUGGGAUAAUAUUGACGCUCAUGCACGAAAGCGUGGGGAGCAAACAGGAUUAGAUACCCUGGUAGUCCACGCCCUAAACGAUGUCUACUAGUUGU
RNAcentral lists this ribosomal RNA (791 nucleotides) under uncultured bacterium. RNAcentral describes it as "bacterial SSU rRNA". It matches the Rfam family "Bacterial small subunit ribosomal RNA", at positions 37 to 823 of the family's 1533-position model. The record is from RNAcentral.